This is a long non-coding RNA of Parus major (Great Tit), 552 nucleotides long. RefSeq lists it as uncharacterized. NCBI's taxonomy places the organism in Eukaryota, Metazoa, Chordata, Aves, Passeriformes, Paridae. The transcript is spliced from 3 exons. The record is from RefSeq and is a predicted model, not a curated record.
UCCCUUUGUCUGCUAUCCACUGUAGUUUAACUUCCUUCUGCAUCCAGAGGCAGUGUUACAUUUCUAUCUCUCUCUGUGCAUUUCAGCUUCCUGUACUAUUCCUUGUAAAUCAGCUUUUAUACUCUAACUUCAGAGUCAGAGGCUGCUUUGAGUGGGAUAUGGACCUGAUGGCCCCCAGUGGUCCCUUGCAGCAUAAAUUGUUCCCAGGUGAAUGAUUCUGACUUGACUUUUACAUGUUUUAAUGGCAGGCCACUUUCAGGGAUCUGUGCCAGACCAUGAGGCUGUCUCAUUGCACAUUUGUUUGGAGUACUGAACAGCUGCAUCUGUUUGAAAGAGUGCCGAAGCAGACCUUGCAUUGGGACCAUUACUUGCUAUGAAGGUAAAGAAACUGGGGCAUGAGUCUUAGUGGAGUGACUGGAAGUGAAGCUGCUGCUUAGAAGGAACUACUGAGACAGUGUCAGUUCUGAUUGUGGAUAAUUAUGGAGCCAGCACAGACAUUCAAGGAUAAUUCAACAAUGGCCUGAGCAAAAUAUAAGCAGAGAAGUUCCUUUU